Long non-coding RNA from Parus major (Great Tit), 3106 nucleotides. RefSeq lists it as uncharacterized. The record is from RefSeq and is a predicted model, not a curated record. Lineage: Eukaryota; Metazoa; Chordata; Aves; Passeriformes; Paridae. The transcript has 2 exons.
CUAGCGCGGGCCUGCAGCGCCCGCUCCGCCGCGCCUGGCCUCCCUGCAGGCCCCGGGCCACGGCCCCGGCUCCUCACUCCUGCCAGGACUCACGUUCCGGGGGUGCUUUCGCCUGCCGUGCAGACACACAGUCUAGAGAGCGCCUCAUUUCUCUACCUGCUUCAGAGACUGAAGUUCUUCUCACCUGACAGCAUCCCCACCAGUGUUCCUGCAACUCAGCCAAGCAGGGAAGACCCACAUGUUUAAAGCUCAUGCUGACCAGCUACCACUCUUACUAGGGAGCACCUGAUCUGUGAUUUUAUAAUUUAUAUUUUGGGUCUUUCUGAAAUGCCUGGCAGCAGAUGUUACAUUGCUCAGGGUACCACCGGCCUCGAGUCAGACACAAUCAUCACUCCAAAAGGAGCUUCAUUGUCUACUCAGUUCAAAGACUCUGUUAAGAGAAAUUAUAAUCUGCAGAGCACUACAGGAUGUUCAUUUGCAAAGUCAGUUGCCUACGUUGUUGCACAGUAAAAAUGCAGGUCAGAAUAGCUGAGUAGAGAUAAAACAUGGAAAGCACAGAUCAAAACUACCUUUACCAUGUGGUAAUAUAGUUGUUAGAUCAGAACUAUGUCUCUGAACUAAAAGAGUCUGCAUCCUGUUAAAAUUCCCACAUCCCCAUGGCAAAUUUUAUUUCCUUUUGAAUUCAGUUGUAAAAAUUGGAAGCAAGGAAAUUCACAGGCCAAAACACUGUCUAGAUAACAUUAAGGGGCAUGUUGCUUCCAAAGCCUUGCGUGGGUUUUAGCCACAUGUCUCCCACUGAUUUUAAUGGGAUUUGCAUGGCUAAAAUCCUGUGCAAUGCUUUGAAAAUGUAUCCCUAAGGGUCUGUCAUGAAUUCAUAAAGCCCCAGAAUUUCUGAGUUAAAACCAAAAUAUAGUGUUGGCUGAUUUUAAAGGCUUGUUACCACUCUCCUAAUUAAAAUACAGCUUAGUUUGGUAAAAGGUCUAUUCUGCUUUGCAUAUAAUGUAUAUGUGUUUAAUAUAAUUCUAGUAUGUGUAUAAUUUAUAUGGUUGUGUUAUUUACACUACAAAAGAGUUGUGUUAUACGCAACUUCUAAUUUUCAUAACACUUUCAUUAUACAUUGGGUAGUAAGCUCCAAACAAUGAAUAAAAUUGCUACUGUUCUUUCAAUGAGCUCAUAAAUGUCACUGAAGAAAUUGCCAUCAUGUUAAGGGUGAGUUGGUUUUGUGGUACACUUAUUGACAGAACAGUUUGUUCUCACAUAAGAUUACAACAUUUUCUUUAAACUGUUUUACAUGGUAUUAUAUCAUUAAGGAUCAAGAAAAGCGGGAACACAAAUCAAUACCUCACAAAAUGUUUGGUUUCUGACGAAUGCACAAAAUUAAGGGAAGUCAAUGGGAAGGCUGUUCUUUCAUUCUUGUGCCUCACAGGAAGGAUCUCAGGUCAACACUGUCAUUACAUUAAGUGGUCCAUGAACAGCCAGUAUGUCAGGUCAGCAAAAGCAAACUGGUACUACUGACUGUAAGCCAGUUGCUUAAUGCUUUGCAUUGCUAUGCCCACCAAAUUUGCAGGUUUACUUAUCUUCAUUUUCAAUGCUCCUAAUCUGUUCCUGCAUUCCUCUUUGUUUUCACCCUCAUUAGAGUUGGAUAAUGUUGUAUUUGAUUAUCAUCAGCUAGAAAGAACACCCUAGUCCUAUAUAUCUACCAAGGUAAGCAGGCAUUUUAGCACAUCCUGACUUGCCAUAUUAGAUAUUCAGUAGGUGGUUAUUGAAUGCACAUAAACAAAUCUGAUUUUGUGUAAGCAAACAAAUACACCUCAAAUACUUGCCAUCAAAAUGAGUAAGGUAUAAGAAAUUUCUACUCAGCUUUUCAAUUUUGUCUAUUUCUUGUGUUAAGUAUAAAAAGCCAUGGAAUCACAGAAUUGAUACGAUUAGAAGGGUCCACAGUGGGUUAUCUGGUCCAACCUCCCUGCUUAAGCAGGGUCAUCCUAGAGCACAUGGCACAGCGUUGCAUCCAGACAGCCCUUGAAUCUCCAGUGAGGGAGACUGCCCACCCUCUCUUGCCAGAGAGGUGGUUUGGUUAUUUUUGCUAAUCACCAAAAUUAUCCUUGCCCCUGCUACAAGGUCAAACAAGUUUUGGGAGCAUUAGUUUUAAAAGCAGAUUCCAGAAAGAAUCAGCUUUCCAGGUUCCAACUUAAGUAAUAGCAAAGCACAGCAAACUUGCUUGACAUCAUCAGCUGAACUUGCCCAAUAUGCAAAUACAAAUCACCUCACAGCAGUUAAGUCCUUUUAAAAUUUCUUGGUUUGUAUUUUGCUACCAAGAGGACUCUUAAUGUAUGAAAGUUUCCCUUCAGGAUGAACAAUCCCUGGCAGGUAUUCUUUAAUGGGGGCUGGUUCCAUAGCUCAGUGGUCCACGAACUAUAGCCCAUGGCUCUAUAGUGGCCCAAAAGCCUUGGAUAAUAAACAGAAAAAUAUACCAACUUACACUGUGUCCAAACAUGCCAUGCUGCUAUUUUCAAUGUAGCUUUCCUGAUUUGCCAGAAGGAAGUUUUCAGCUAAGUGCAAUUUGCACAUUUGCUCUGGGCCUUUCUUUGAAAAAUGCCCUGGUAUGUUCCUCGAAGGGUACAUGGCAGCUGAGGGUUAAAGGUGGUUCACUGGUCUAGAAAAGCCUUGGGGCCAUUGCCUUAGCUGAUUCUGGGCAAUGUGUUUUCACUGAAAUCAUCAAUCCUUGCAUUUUAACUCUGAUACUCAUUACCAUUCUUUAAAAAUACCAUAAAAAUUAAAGAUAACAGUGCGUGAACCCUGAAAGGCAAUAUCCCUUGGCCUCACAUAUGCAUAAGAUUUCUCCUCUCCUUUUUUCUUUUCCUUUCUUCCUCCCCUCUAAUCUCUCUCCUCAAUGAUUGCUCUUUGAUAAACAAUAACAUACAAGAAGCAAAACUCACACAGGGAAUCAAACACACAAAAAUAAAACCGUACAAGAGGCGGUGUCUAUGCACUGCUGUGAGUUGCCCCCUUCUUCACUUGUUUUAUUCUUAAUUUAGAUCCCUGAGGAAUUUUCCUGUUUGCCAAAGACACAUUGCACAUUCUGAUUGAACAUGUUCUAAUUCUUCCA